This 240-nucleotide ribosomal RNA is filed under the name uncultured bacterium. Its description in RNAcentral is "partial 16S ribosomal RNA". It matches the Rfam family "Bacterial small subunit ribosomal RNA", at positions 15 to 245 of the family's 1533-position model. The record is from RNAcentral.
GAUCAUGGCUCAGGAUGAACGCUAGCUACAGGCUUAACACAUGCAAGUCGAGGGGCAGCAUUUCAGUUUGCUUGCAAACUGGAGAUGGCGACCGGCGCACGGGUGAGUAACACGUAUCCAACCUGCCGAUAACUCGGGGAUAGCCUUUCGAAAGAAAGAUUAAUACCCGAUGGUAUAAUUAGACCGCAUGGUCUUGUCAUUAAAGAAUUUCGGUUAUCGAUGGGGAUGCGUUCAAUUAGG